UCAUUACUAAGCUUUCAUAAUUUCCCAUAGUAUCCAAAUCUCAGAAGUGACAUUCAAGCAACGAAAAAAUUCAUCCGUUUAUCCUCAGUCAUUGAUUCUACGAUGUCCUACAUGUCUUGUUUGGCUUCCCUAGGGUUCGAUUAGUCUGAACAGGGUCCAUUGAAUUAAUUCUCGGAUAUAAAAAUAUUAUGCUUCUAAACACGCGAAAAGAUCUUAACUCUGAUAUACGUCGAUGUAAUUUUGCGAGUGGAAUCGAUUGCACGCGUCUAGGGUCGCUGCGAACAACGUAUAUUAGCGCUGCACGAAGCGCACGUGUUCAAUAUAGGUAUAGGUCCAUCUAGAUAGAAUUUAGUGGUCGUCAGCUGUGACAAUCCGUAUCACACCUAAUUGUGGGGCGAGGUUAUGUAUGCGUGUAUGUACGUACAAUACAUACGACACAGCCAACGCGAGCGACGGAGAGCCUGUAAAAAUAGUGAAAAUUUAUUUGAAAUAUCCAAUGAAUUACACGAACUGUUGGAAAAUUAACCCUUGCAUCAAACGAUGGCGCGAAAACAAGCCUUAUCUCCGGAUGUUGAAACAUUGUUUUGGUACAGAAGCCAAGUCUCGAGCUGAAACAAAGAAAAAAUGGCGCAGUGUCGUUGGACUCGAAAUUCACGCCCAAAUUCAAUCGAAUUCAAAGUUAUUUUCUGGUUCAAGCACCAUGUAUGGUUCCCCGAUAAACAGUAACGUUUCAUUCUUUGAUUGUGCUACACCGGGAACACUACCUGUACUGAAUAAAAGAUGCGUCGAAGCAGGAAUACUAACUGCUCUGGCGCUAUCCUGCAAAGUAAACGAAGUAUCAUUGUUUGAUAGAAAACAUUAUUUCUAUGCAGAUUUGCCAGCAGGAUAUCAAAUAACUCAGCAACGUCAAGCCUUGGCUAUAGAUGGAGAACUCAAUUUCCAAGUAUAUACACCGGGUAUUCAUCCACGACCCUACAGCAAAGUUUCUAAAAUCAAGCAGCUGCAACUGGAACAAGAUAGUGGCAAAAGCUUACACGAUUUAAUAGCAAAAAGAAGUUUGGUCGAUCUUAAUCGAGCAGGGAUACCACUGAUGGAAUUGGUAUUCGAGCCGGACUUAUCAGAUGGCGAAGAGGCUGCUGCGCUAGUCAAAGAGAUCGUACUCAUUCUGAAAAGAUUGGGGACGUGCUCCUGUAAAAUGGAAGAGGGCGCCCUUCGAGUUGACGCCAAUAUCUCUGUGAAUCGACCAGGGGAAAAAUUGGGCACGCGAACAGAAGUCAAGAACAUUGGAAGUAUUAGGUCAGUGGCAGCUGCUGUAAAGUUUGAAAUUGACAGACAGAUUACAGAAAUUGAGAAUGGUGGUACAAUUAUUAAUGAAACAAGGUCAUGGGACACGGAAAUUCGCAAAACAGUUCCAAUGCGAGAUAAAGAAGAAAAGCAGGAUUAUCGUUUUAUGCCAGAACCAAAUCUUCCGCCAUUGCACGUACACGUCACUAAAGAAAUAAAAAAUAAGUAUGGAUUGGUUGAUGUUCCACUUCUGCAAGAAAGCCUUCCCGAGCUUCCAGAGGAAACACGAUAUAAUCUUAAAAAUAAUUUUGGACUCGACUCAACUGCCGCCAUUAUACUUACUAAUGAAAACAAUUUGCUGAAUAUCUUCGAAGCUGUUGUCAAAGAAGACAGUAAACGAAAACCCAAGCUUGUAUCAAACAUAUUGAUCAACCAGUUGCUAACAGUGGUUAACAGAAAAGCAUUAGAACUGGAUACUUGGUAUGGAAACACGUAUUUUGAAUGCGCAACAUAUUGGUGAAUUGGUGGACAUGCUACAAAACAAAACAAUCAAUUUAACUACUGCCGAAAACGUACUGGAAGAGUACAUAACUGAAUCGUCGAUGACUCCUAAACAAAUUGUUGAGAAAAAUAAUUGGACUCAGAUCACAGAUGAACAUCAAUUAACUCAAAUAUGCAAAAAUAUACUGCUGCAGCGAGCUGAUGUUGUAAAAAAGUAUAAAGCUGGAAAGACAAAAGUUUUCAGAGCUCUGGUGGGUG
This 2043-nucleotide unclassified non-coding RNA is filed under the name Neodiprion lecontei (redheaded pine sawfly). RNAcentral's name for it is "glutamyl-tRNA(Gln) amidotransferase subunit B, mitochondrial, transcript variant X2". Lineage: Eukaryota; Metazoa; Arthropoda; Insecta; Hymenoptera; Diprionidae. The record is from RNAcentral.